CUCAGUGACAGUGUGGUGUGAUUAUUUGAGCAGAAUUUAUGCUAUGGCUUUAGCAACAGGGAAGAAUGAAAUGAACGCAUUUGUGCUUUUAAAAAUCCUUUUCACGUGCAGAUUCAGCCCGUUGUUAAAUUUGCACUGAUUUGUUUGCAGCAUCUUCCUCUCCUGCCUUACAUUGCAUGUGUGCUGGUUCAGUUUGUUCCAGAGUGUUGAUUUGAUUCAAACAGAUUCUUGGAGGAGGGGGAACAACAAAGAUGGAAAAGCUAAUUCAAGUAGAGGCCUGUUCUUCUGUACUGUGAAGACAGCAACUUAAGCUAGCUGUCCUCUGCAGGCUGUUGCAGUUAUUUGCAGCCACUUGGGCCACUGAGGCCGACAGAAGCCUUGAGAGAGGUGUCGUCCUUGUUCAUCAGUCAUCUUUUCCUGCUGUCAACAGUUUCAGGACUCCCUGCGCCAGCACAGACAAGGGCUCUGAAUUCAGUAAAAAUCUUGAUUUUUGUUUUGCUAUUUUAUGGGUGGAGUGGAUGCCAUGGGGACUACGCUUAUGGGACACAGACUGUUUGAUGAUAGGUCAUUAUCCAUCAGUGGGCAUCAAGCAAUGAUGUGUUGGCCAGAGGCACGGUGAAGCUUCCUUCUCUGUUCCUCCCCUUCCACACCCAUAAGAGAUUGCGGGAUGGUCACAGGCAAAGACUGAGAUGUUGGCCAGUUGCACACAUGGUUGCUCCACUAAGGAGCACGUUUCCGCAAAGAAAUGUGGUCUGGUUACACUCUUCAGCUUGACCUCUACAACCCCUUAUGUUCCUUUGGUUGGAAUUAUGAUCAGUGCUUCCAGACACCUCCCUCCUUUUCUCCCUGUCCCCACAGAGACUGACAGACUGUUACGUACAGUGUUAUGUAAGCGUAGAUGGGAUUGCUGGAACAUGUUGGGAAGCAAGACUGGUUUUGCCUCAGCAAGUAGGGAUGUUUGUUGUGAGACCGUGGAAAAACACAUGCAGUUUGGAAAACGACAUUACAUCAGGUGCAAGAAAGGUGACUACCUCUAACUUGGUAGUGAAGGAAGGGAGAGGUAUAAGACCUAUAUCCUGAGA
RNAcentral lists this long non-coding RNA (1082 nucleotides) under Gallus gallus (chicken). RNAcentral describes it as "long non-coding RNA NONGGAT004123". Lineage: Eukaryota; Metazoa; Chordata; Aves; Galliformes; Phasianidae. The record is from RNAcentral.